UUUAAGGAAUGAAGAGUUACCCUCUACGUCUUGACAAGAGUCACCUCCCUUCGCACCGUCUUUACAAAGGAAAAUGGCGGGUGUCAUUCGGUACAACAAGGGAGUAAUCCAUGUUCAUAUUUGAACUUCCGCUUCCACCGUUGGAUAAUUCAAGAUGAAUCAUGCAGCCAUAAUCCCAAAUCGGUUCCAGCUGAACGAGGACUUUGACAAUAUAAUCGUUCCG
This is a long non-coding RNA of Haliotis rubra (blacklip abalone), 223 nucleotides long. RefSeq lists it as uncharacterized. Lineage: Eukaryota; Metazoa; Mollusca; Gastropoda; Lepetellida; Haliotidae. The transcript has 3 exons. The record is from RefSeq and is a predicted model, not a curated record.